CUUGGGUGAAAGAUUUAUUGCCUGAAGAUGAGCUCGCGUCCGAUUAGCUAGUUGGUAGGGUAAAAGCCUCCCAAGGCGACGAUCGGUAGCUGGUCUGAGAGGAUGAUCAGCCACACUGGGACUGAGACACGGCCCAGACUCCUACGGGAGGCAGCAGUGGGGAAUAUUGGACAAUGGGCGCAAGCCUGAUCCAGCCAUGCCGCGUGAGUGAUGAAGGCCCUAGGGUUGUAAAGCUCUUUCGCCAGGGACGAUAAUGACGGUACCUGGAUAAGAAGCCCCGGCUAACUUCGUGCCAGCAGCCGCGGUAAUAAUCGGAUCCUUGU
Molecule: ribosomal RNA, 323 nt
Filed under: uncultured Methylosinus sp.
Lineage: Bacteria; Pseudomonadati; Pseudomonadota; Alphaproteobacteria; Hyphomicrobiales; Methylocystaceae
Description: bacterial SSU rRNA
Rfam family: Bacterial small subunit ribosomal RNA
Source: RNAcentral